This 253-nucleotide ribosomal RNA is filed under the name uncultured bacterium. RNAcentral's name for it is "partial 16S ribosomal RNA". It matches the Rfam family "Bacterial small subunit ribosomal RNA", at positions 524 to 776 of the family's 1533-position model. The record is from RNAcentral.
UACGUAGGGGGCAAGCGUUGUCCGGAUUUAUUGGGCGUAAAGAGCGUGUAGGCGGCCAAGCAGGUCCGCUGUGAAAACUCGAGGCUCAACCUCGAGACGUCGGUGGAAACCGUUUGGCUAGAGUCCGGAAGAGGAGAGUGGAAUUCCCGGUGUAGCGGUGAAAUGCGCAGAUAUCGGGAAGAACACCCGUGGCGAAGGCGGCUCCCUGGGACGGUACUGACGCUGAGGUGCGAAAGCGUGGGGAGCAAACAGG